This 1674-nucleotide long non-coding RNA is filed under the name Triticum aestivum (bread wheat). RNAcentral's name for it is "long non-coding RNA (TAES_LNC022207)". The record is from RNAcentral. Lineage: Eukaryota; Viridiplantae; Streptophyta; Magnoliopsida; Poales; Poaceae.
ACUAGUUUUACCUGCUAUAUAUUAUUAUUUUUUUGAAACGAGGCAAAAGACUUGCCAUUUUCAUUGAUUAAGAAGUGAGAAUUGCCCGGUUAAUUGACGGAAAACCGGGCUAAAACUGAUACAACCCAACCCAUAUAACAUGGGCACCACCGGCCAACCUGGCCACCGACAUGAAACAUGAGCUGCAAAGAAGAAAAGACAUCCGCCGGGGAGUCGCAAGCGUCAUCGUCAUCACCGGUUACCUCCGAACGGGCGACUCCGACUUCACCAUAGAGCUCCACCAACGAAGCCGCCCCCACAAACAGCUACACAGAGCAAUGACGGCACAUGCCAACAGAUGGCCACACGCGCCAACAACCGACAACUCCGACUUUGACGACGAGCCUCACAAGGGAAAUAUGCAGGACUUGCGCCGAUCGUGCCCUAAAGAGCACCUCGGGCACGCCGGGAAGAUCCGACUACCAAAGCCCGAGCUGCGACCCAAGCUCCUCUUGACACCAUCAUCGUUGCCAAACAGAAAUCGGCGCCCCCGAAAUCGCCCGAUCCCGCAGAUCAGAGGUUUCCCUCCGGAGCCAAGGCCGUGGGGUGAGGGGUGGAGCACCAUACAUCAGCGACGCUUCCAAGAAAGAGCGAGACACCCACAGGCGCCGCGCCAGCUCCGGCAAAGGCCGGAAGAAGGAUUUCUCCCUGAGAUGCUCGACCACCACCAGCCCGUAUCGGCCAGCCACAGACCUCCAUCAAACCUCCACCAAACCAGCACCGCAGAGCACCGAGGGGAGCCUCCCGCCAGCGCCCGCCCCUGCCAAGGCCGUCCCGCGCGCCCGCCCGACCAGAUGCCGGGCCCUGGACGCACACCACCGUCACCGCCAUCGGGCCGACCUCACGCCGUCUCCCUCACCAGGCCUUGGGGCAGGAGGUCACCACCGCCACGCCGCAGGAACCGCACCACGCGGAGGCAACGAACAGGCUGCAGCAGAAAACCCUCGAAGAACGCCCGGAUCCAGCCACGCCCGGCCAGAUGCAGCGUCCGCCAGCCUCCCCGCCGGCCACCGAAGCAUCACUGAGGCUCCCGCACCGCCCAGCCGAGCAGAAACGGAGACCCAACGGGAAGCGCCGAGAUCCGGAGCACCACGCCCCCGAAGCCGAGCGCCGCCAAGGGAGAGGCAGGAGCACCACCAGGCCUCGCCGCCGCGCCGCCCACGCGGCCGCAGCAGCCGACAACCGCCGUGAAGACCGGGCCGCAGCCCGAGAUCCAGAGUCGCCCGCGCCGCUGCGGGCCAGGAGAGCCCCGCCGCCGCCGCCGUCCGCUGCGCGGGCUUAGCCCGGCCGCGUCAUUCGGCGGCGGCGAGGGAAGGUGGAGGGGGCGGGGUGGGACGAGGCGCCGACGGUGCUGGGCUCCGCCCGAGCCGCCCAGAGGCGACGCAGGGGACGGGAGGGACCGGGGAACAGUUACCUGCUAUAUUAUGCACUGAUUUGCAUUUCAAAAAUAUUGAUAGAAGGUUUAGCUUCUUCUGCGAUUGAAGAUGUAGUCAUGGGAGGCUCAGAUCAACCAAUCCUUUGAUUUGGUAUCUAUCUUUUGUAUCAUCUAUAUAUGCUACAUAUUGUCUUUUGAUUUGUCUUUCUUUAUUAUUUGACCCAUCAUGGAACAAAUGCUGCCAUUGAAUAUUAUGUUUG